Molecule: ribosomal RNA, 467 nt
Filed under: uncultured bacterium
Lineage: Bacteria
Description: partial 16S ribosomal RNA
Rfam family: Bacterial small subunit ribosomal RNA
Source: RNAcentral
GACGAACGCUGGCGGCGUGCUUAACACAUGCAAGUCGAACGAUGACGACCGAGCUUGCUCGGUCUGAUUAGUGGCGAACGGGUGAGUAACACGUGAGCAACCUGCCCUUCACUCUGGGAUAACCUCGGGAAAUCGGGGCUAAUACCGGAUAUGAGCUCCUGUCGCAUGGCGGGUGUUGGAAAGUUUUUCGGUGAAGGAUGGGCUCGCGGCCUAUCAGUUUGUUGGUGAGGUAGUGGCUCACCAAGGCGAUGACGGGUAGCCGGCCUGAGAGGGCGACCGGCCACACUGGGACUGAGACACGGCCCAGACUCCUACGGGAGGCAGCAGUGGGGAAUAUUGCACAAUGGGCGAAAGCCUGAUGCAGCGACGCCGCGUGAGGGAUGACGGCCUUCGGGUUGUAAACCUCUUUCAGCAGGGAAGAAGCGAAAGUGACGGUACCUGCAGAAGGAGCGCCGGCUAACUACGUG